AGUGCCCAUCGUAUCGUAUCGUAUCGUUUCAAUUAGAUAUCGAAACGAUAUGUGCAGUCCCCGUAUAGAUAGUACAGCUUAAAACUUCAUAUUCUUUAUAUUUGUAAGUAAUUUUUUUUAAUAAAGUAUAAGAGAUUAAUUUGUAUAAGAUACACAAUAAGCAAUUAAAAUUCUCUGUUGCCAAAGAGAAUAAAUAUUUCAUACAAUUAUGUUCGGCACACAUAGUACCAUAUCAUUAUGUUCGGUAUUUUUGUGCCCGGUGUGUAGGGCACAUAUAGUACCAUAUCAUUUUGGACACGAUCUAGUGCCACGACACUAAGAUUCUUGUUAAUCGCCAUGGACGGUGUUACUUUUAGAAUCCGAAACUCUGUGAAAC
RNAcentral lists this long non-coding RNA (376 nucleotides) under Ananas comosus (pineapple). Its description in RNAcentral is "long non-coding RNA (ACOM_LNC027153)". The record is from RNAcentral. Lineage: Eukaryota; Viridiplantae; Streptophyta; Magnoliopsida; Poales; Bromeliaceae.